GUCGAGAAUCUUUCACAAUGGGGGCAACCCUGAUGGAGCGACGCCGCGUGGAGGAUAAGGUCUUCGGAUUGUAAACUCCUGUCAUGCGUGAACAAGGUUGCUUGGUUAAUACCUGGGCAAAUUGAUGGUAACGCAAGAGGAAGAGACGGCUAACUCUGUGCCAGCAGCCGCGGUAAUACAGAGGUCUCAAGCGUUGUUCGGAAUCACUGGGCGUAAAGGGUGCGUAGGUGGCGUGGUAAGUCAGAUGUGAAAGCCCGGGGCUCAACCUCGGAACUGCAUCCGAUACUGCCAUGCUAGAGUACUGGAGAGGUGACUAGAAUUCUCGGUGUAGCAGUGAAAUGCGUAGAUAUCGAGAGGAAUACCAAAGGCGUAGGCAGGUCACUGGACAGUUACUGACACUGAGGCACGAAAGCGUGGGGAUCGAACAGGAUUAGAUACCCGGGUAGUCC
RNAcentral lists this ribosomal RNA (449 nucleotides) under uncultured bacterium. RNAcentral describes it as "partial 16S ribosomal RNA". It matches the Rfam family "Bacterial small subunit ribosomal RNA", at positions 354 to 796 of the family's 1533-position model. The record is from RNAcentral.